RNAcentral lists this unclassified non-coding RNA (278 nucleotides) under uncultured fungus. RNAcentral's name for it is "partial contains small subunit ribosomal RNA, internal transcribed spacer 1, and 5.8S ribosomal RNA". The stretch from base 1 to 73 matches the Rfam family "Eukaryotic small subunit ribosomal RNA", at positions 1759 to 1831 of the family's 1831-position model. The record is from RNAcentral. Lineage: Eukaryota; Fungi.
GCAAACUUGGUCAUUUAGAGGAAGUAAAAGUCGUAACAAGGUCUCCGUAGGUGAACCUGCGGAGGGAUCAUUACAGAGUUAUCAAACUCCUAAACCCUUUGUUUAAUCUACCUAUUGUUUCUUCGGCAGGUGGUCCCUGGGAGGGUCCUGUAGCCUGUUUAGGUACCUGCCGAAGACCACAAACUCAGUUUUACAUUUUUGUGUCUAAGUUUUAUUAUAAAUAAGUCAAAACUUUCAACAACGGAUCUCUUGGUUCUGGCAUCGAUGAAGAACGCAGC